Molecule: ribosomal RNA, 1865 nt
Filed under: Salmonella enterica
Lineage: Bacteria; Pseudomonadati; Pseudomonadota; Gammaproteobacteria; Enterobacterales; Enterobacteriaceae
Also listed under: 1 other name
Description: partial 23S ribosomal RNA
Rfam family: Bacterial large subunit ribosomal RNA
Source: RNAcentral
GCGAAUACCGGAGAAUGUUAUCACGGGAGACACACGGCGGGUGCUAACGUCCGUCGUGAAGAGGGAAACAACCCAGACCGCCAGCUAAGGUCCCAAAGUCAUGGUUAAGUGGGAAACGAUGUGGGAAGGCCCAGACAGCCAGGAUGUUGGCUUAGAAGCAGCCAUCAUUUAAAGAAAGCGUAAUAGCUCACUGGUCGAGUCGGCCUGCGCGGAAGAUGUAACGGGGCUAAACCAUGCACCGAAGCUGCGGCAGCGACACUGUGUGUUGUUGGGUAGGGGAGCGUUCUGUAAGCCUGUGAAGGUGGCCUGUGAGGGUUGCUGGAGGUAUCAGAAGUGCGAAUGCUGACAUAAGUAACGAUAAAGCGGGUGAAAAGCCCGCUCGCCGGAAGACCAAGGGUUCCUGUCCAACGUUAAUCGGGGCAGGGUGAGUCGACCCCUAAGGCGAGGCCGAAAGGCGUAGUCGAUGGGAAACGGGUUAAUAUUCCCGUACUUGGUGUUACUGCGAAGGGGGGACGGAGAAGGCUAUGUUGGCCGGGCGACGGUUGUCCCGGUUUAAGCGUGUAGGUGUGUGUUCCAGGUAAAUCCGGUUCACUUUAACACUGAGGCGUGACGACGAGGCACUACGGUGCUGAAGCAACAAAUGCCCUGCUUCCAGGAAAAGCCUCUAAGCAUCAGGUAACAUCAAAUCGUACCCCAAACCGACACAGGUGGUCAGGUAGAGAAUACCAAGGCGCUUGAGAGAACUCGGGUGAAGGAACUAGGCAAAAUGGUGCCGUAACUUCGGGAGAAGGCACGCUGACACGUAGGUGAAGUGAUUUACUCACGGAGCUGAAGUCAGUCGAAGAUACCAGCUGGCUGCAACUGUUUAUUAAAAACACAGCACUGUGCAAACACGAAAGUGGACGUAUACGGUGUGACGCCUGCCCGGUGCCGGAAGGUUAAUUGAUGGGGUCAGCGCAAGCGAAGCUCCUGAUCGAAGCCCCGGUAAACGGCGGCCGUAACUAUAACGGUCCUAAGGUAGCGAAAUUCCUUGUCGGGUAAGUUCCGACCUGCACGAAUGGCGUAAUGAUGGCCAGGCUGUCUCCACCCGAGACUCAGUGAAAUUGAACUCGCUGUGAAGAUGCAGUGUACCCGCGGCAAGACGGAAAGACCCCGUGAACCUUUACUAUAGCUUGACACUGAACAUUGAGCCUUGAUGUGUAGGAUAGGUGGGAGGCUUUGAAGCGUGGACGCCAGUCUGCGUGGAGCCGACCUUGAAAUACCACCCUUUAAUGUUUGAUGUUCUAACGUGGACCCGUGAUCCGGGUUGCGGACAGUGUCUGGUGGGUAGUUUGACUGGGGCGGUCUCCUCCUAAAGAGUAACGGAGGAGCACGAAGGUUGGCUAAUCCUGGUCGGACAUCAGGAGGUUAGUGCAAUGGCAUAAGCCAGCUUGACUGCGAGCGUGACGGCGCGAGCAGGUGCGAAAGCAGGUCAUAGUGAUCCGGUGGUUCUGAAUGGAAGGGCCAUCGCUCAACGGAUAAAAGGUACUCCGGGGAUAACAGGCUGAUACCGCCCAAGAGUUCAUAUCGACGGCGGUGUUUGGCACCUCGAUGUCGGCUCAUCACAUCCUGGGGCUGAAGUAGGUCCCAAGGGUAUGGCUGUUCGCCAUUUAAAGUGGUACGCGAGCUGGGUUUAGAACGUCGUGAGACAGUUCGGUCCCUAUCUGCCGUGGGCGCUGGAGAACUGAGGGGGGCUGCUCCUAGUACGAGAGGACCGGAGUGGACGCAUCACUGGUGUUCGGGUUGUCAUGCCAAUGGCACUGCCCGGUAGCUAAAUGCGGAAGAGAUAAGUGCUGAAAGCAUCUAAGCACGAAACUUGCCCCGAG